This is a long non-coding RNA of Carassius gibelio (silver crucian carp), 221 nucleotides long. RefSeq lists it as uncharacterized. Lineage: Eukaryota; Metazoa; Chordata; Actinopteri; Cypriniformes; Cyprinidae. The record is from RefSeq and is a predicted model, not a curated record. The transcript has 3 exons.
CGAGUACUUAGAGAGGCAGCUUGAAAGUGGGAAUACACGGGCAGCAAUGGUGACACAGUUGUGUAAAAUUGGAGGAAAAAACUUCAAAGACAGUACAAGAAGAAUGCUGGACAGUGUUUUCAAAAAUUCCCUGAUGUCUACAUUCAACAUGAAAGGAGGAGGUCCACUACAGAAGAAGUCCUUUCAAUCAACUGCCUUAUUCUCAGUCAUCAGAGGUAUGC